This 104-nucleotide ribosomal RNA is filed under the name Bacillus safensis. RNAcentral's name for it is "partial 23S ribosomal RNA". It matches the Rfam family "Bacterial large subunit ribosomal RNA", at positions 2795 to 2897 of the family's 2925-position model. The record is from RNAcentral. Lineage: Bacteria; Bacillati; Bacillota; Bacilli; Caryophanales; Bacillaceae.
UCCAUCAAGAUGAGAUUUCCCAUUCCGCAAGGAAGUAAGAUCCCUGAAAGAUGAUCAGGUUGAUAGGUCUGAGGUGGAAGCGUGGUGACACGUGGAGCUGACAG